CCUACGGGUGGCAGCAGUGAGGAAUAUUGGUCAAUGGUCGAAAGACUGAACCAGCCAUGCCGCGUGCAGGACAGACGGCCCUAGAGGUUGUAAACUGCUUUUAUAUGGGAAGAAUAAGGAGUACGUGUACUUUGAUGACGGUACCAUAUGAAUAAGCAUCGGCUAACUCCGUGCCAGCAGCCGCGGUAAUACGGAGGAUGCGAGCGUUAUUCGGAAUCAUUGGGUUUAAAGGGUCUGUAGGCGGGCUAUUAAGUCAGGGGUGAAAGGUUUCAGCUUAACUGAGAAAUUGCCUUUGAUACUGGUAGUCUUGAAUAUCUGUGAAGUUCUUGGAAUGUGUAGUGUAGCGGUGAAAUGCUUAGAUAUUACACAGAACACCGAUUGCGGAGGCAGGGGACUAACAGAUGAUUGACGCUGAGAGACGAAAGCGUGGGGAGCGAACAGGAUUAGAUACCCCUGUAGUC
Molecule: ribosomal RNA, 461 nt
Filed under: uncultured Capnocytophaga sp.
Lineage: Bacteria; Pseudomonadati; Bacteroidota; Flavobacteriia; Flavobacteriales; Flavobacteriaceae
Description: bacterial SSU rRNA
Rfam family: Bacterial small subunit ribosomal RNA
Source: RNAcentral